Molecule: long non-coding RNA, 8793 nt
Organism: Hevea brasiliensis (rubber tree)
Lineage: Eukaryota; Viridiplantae; Streptophyta; Magnoliopsida; Malpighiales; Euphorbiaceae
Exons: 2
Source: RefSeq, a predicted model, not a curated record
GUCAUAGGAUGCAGGAAAUGGAAAAAGAAAACGGAUGUAGAAGAAGAAAGAACAACUUGUUUCCCAGAGGGCCGCAGUCGCAUCAGACCCAAUUUCCAAGACCGGAGACCACUUCGGAACGAAAAUGGUCCGAUCCCACCAUCACCACCAUAAUCCAACGGCAGGGAUUACGAGUAAGAAACAAAAAAACGUAAAAUCAGACGGAAAGAAAUCAAUCGGAAGUGACGGGAGUGUGACAUCAACACUCUCACCCAAAUCCAAUCACAACCCUGCAGAGUACAUACUCAACAGAGAGAGAGAGAGAGUAAGUACUGAUUUCUUCAUCACCAUCAUCCUCUUUUGCUCUUGUUCUUCUUCUCUGCACUCGUGCAACGUUUAAACCUUAUUCAUUCUUUUUCUUUCCUUUCCUGGUUAAUCUUUUGGAGCCAUUAUUGACAGUGGUUUUUUUUUUUUUUUAUCAGAACCUUAUUGACGGUGGUUGAAAGUUAAGGUCUUCACUGUUAGAUUUGUUUCAGAUAUAGAGAGGACACCUGGAACGUGUCACCGACACCUGUACGUCUUGCAUGAGAGAGAGAGGGCCUCUGCGAGGGUAGAGAGAGAGAGAGAGAGAGAGAGAGAGGUUCUUUACUUUCUAGUGGCUACGGUCCCAAUAAAAACCCUAAAUCUGUCAUUAAAGCUCUUUCAUUCUUAUAGUUAAAGGAGGGUGAUUUGUAGAUUUUUGGUAACUUUCCUUAAAUGGGUCUCACUGUAUUCUCAGAUCUGACUCCAUUGUUUUGCACAUUUUAUGCUUCUUUUUCCUUUCUUUUUCUAUUUUUCCAUUCUGGGUAACUUGUCUUUACAUUCUUUACUUUGAUACUUAUCUCCUCUCAUCUUCUGGGACAUAGAAAUUGACAGAAGAGAGUGAGCACACAGAGGCAUUUGUAUAAAUCUAUACCCUUGCUUUUGCGUGCUUACUUCUCCUUCUGUCAGCUUCCAGAGCCGGAAUUGGAUCUUUCUCGGGUCACCCGAAUUCCUGGUCUGUUUUUGUUCCAGAUUGAUACCUCUUCCUUAUUUUCUUUUUCUUUAUCUGCUUUCAAAGUUUUUUUUUUUCCCUUUCUCUUUCAAAGAGGAAGAUGAUGAGAUGACGGUUGAGCAAACAGAGAAAAAUAAUGCCAAGUGCCAAUCAUUAAUUAAUACCAGAAACGGCUAUCAGAUAUGUAUUUGUCUUGGUUUUAAUUUAUUUAAGUUUAUGCUUUAAUUAAAUUAUAUAUUUAAUAGCUUGAAAAGCGUGGCUUUUGAUGGUGUUUAGCUUAAGAGGGUAGGCGUGAUUACUGUGCAGAUUUAGCGGCAAAACAGUGUAUUAACAUGGGGAAAUUCACGUUAUCUAAGUUGUAGCAUGGUCCUCACUUGCAAAACUUGCUCUCCAUUAUCAUCUCUCUGCAUUUCAAUUCACUUUUUUAUUCAUUCGCAUGGUAGAAAAAUGGAUUUUCCCUUUUGUGGGUUCGAAAACCCUAUCCUACCUAGAAUAGGGUUGCUUUGCUUGUGUUGCUAGUGCACACAAGGGAUAUCUUGGCGCUUCUUUUUGCUCUGAUUUUUUGACAUUAUCUGGUAACUUUCACACUCUCUCAGUUGGGUUCUGAAAAGGUUCUAUUUCUUUUCUUGAUUAUCUGCAUUGUUUGCUUCAUAGCACUUGUUUCUCUUAGCCAAUGUAUGUGUGUGGGUGUGUGUGGAUGAUUGAUCCGAUCAGGCAAAAUAAUGAAUGCUUCUUUCCUCAUGGGAAGUUUGCUGCAAAUUUUUCUUUUCUCUUUUGCUUCUGUGUUCUGAGUUUUUGCAGAUUGGUGUUCGAUUAAGUAAAUGUUUACUCAUUUGUCAUGGGUGAAUGAUGUCCCAGAAGAAAUCUAAUCGAGCAGGUCAGAAAGUACUUAAGAACACAUCUUUUGUUUUGCAUUUAUACAUAACAUUUUCUUCUAAUUUAUUUAUUUCAUGAAUUCCCUUUCUUUUUCUAUCUUCGUUUAUUGGAAUAAUUAUUUUAUCAUUGGUCUCUACCGAGGACUUUAAUCCUUUAUUAACCUGUUAAAUCAUCUCAUUUUGUGAAUAUCGAGUCUGAUAGCAACUUAUAUUUCAUACGGAUGGCAUAUUAAGCAAAUAAUCUAACUAAAAAUUAUGAUAAAACUUAAGUUGUUUUUCAAGAAAUUACAUGCAAUUAAAAUUUCUUAGAUUAUAGCAUCAUCAAUUGCUUCGUCAUCUAAUUUGGUCAUUGUACUUGUUUUGAGCAGCAAGUGGAUUGCUUUGACAAUACUUCUUCAUAUGAAAUUGUGACUAAUAUAGCAUCAUCAGAAGUUCAUUAUUGCUCUAUAGUAUUUAUAUUACGCAUUUAUGCAGAUGAAAAACUAUAGUUUUGUUAUAAUUGAAUUGCAGAUGUUGAAUAUCCAUCCAGGAUCCUUAAAUGGUUUAGGGUGUGUUUGGUAUUUUUAUUGUAACUGCUGUCGAGAAAAAUACCCCAUAAAUACUUUACGAGCUAUUAAAAAUUGAUUUAAAGUUAAAUAUGCACAUAGAAAGCAAAUAUUUCAGUCCAUGGGGUUUACAGCAACCCAUUAUUUAGCAAGAGAGACAAGGGACGAAGCAUACAUUAUCAACUUGCUUCAAGAAUCAAGAUGCACUUGUUUUCUCCUUCAAAGGAGAUAUUGAUAGCCAUUGAACACCUUAUGAUUGAUAGCCAUGGUACACCCUAAUGGAUAAAAUACUUCGUUCAAAUCAAUGUUUUUGGGGUUGGCUAAGUGGAUCUCCAAACUCAUGGAUAAGUGUAUUAUCAAGUACAUACUAGUUGAUUGAUUAUAAUUGAUAACCUCAGUACACCAUACCCAACCUUAAUAAGCUUUGAUCAUACUCCUCCCUUUGAAGUUGUGAUUUAUAUAACAUUAUCAAAAAGUAUUUCUUUAGCAUUCUAUUGCUUUGUCUAUAUGGAAUAAUUAUUAUGCAUUAUCUUGUUUGGAAUCAAUGACAAGACUAUAUAUAUUAUGAUCUUUCUUGCUCAAUAAUAUUUAUUUUAUUAAGACAAAAACCUAUAGUUUUUCUAUAAUUGCGUUGCAAGUGUAAAUUAUUCAGGCGAGAUCCUCAAAUUGUUUGGAAGGCAAAGGUGUAAAAACAUGGGGAUUACAUUAACCCAUUGCUUUACAAGGACAAGGUACGCAUACAUUUUUUAUUUGCUUUAAUAAUCAAGAUGCACUUGUUUUCUUGUUCUUUAAAGGUGAUAUUUAUACCCCAUGUUUCUAGUAGUUCAGCCACCACUUAAAUUUUAAAUUAUGCACUAGUUUUUGUGAAAUAAGAUCUUUUUUUCUUUUUCUUUCUUGUUUUGUUUCUGUCAUUACAAUUUGUUUGUUGCAUAAUUUCUGCUUCUAAGUGAGAAAUGAUAAAAUUGUGAAGUGCAAAAGGCUGAUAUCACAUGUUCACGAAUUUGGUAUUAUUAUUAUUGGCCGACAAGCACAAAAUUUUCCUAAAGAGGACCCAAAUCUUUUGGAAAUAAAGCAAAUUGAGGUGGUUGGUACAUGUACUGGGGAUUUCAACACUCUUAUUAUAUGUGAAUAUUGUGAAUAUUACUUUCUUUGUUUAUUUCUCCCUGUAUUUAUUCAAUGCAUGGGUACUUAUUGCAUAACUAUGUUAAUUAGACAAAAUACUGAAAAUAUAUCAUUAUUAGAUGCAAAAGUUGUUCAUAUAAUGUUCUAAAGGAUUCGAGAUGUAACAAAUAUCAAAUCAACCCUAUUAUAAUUCUUUUAUAGGAAUGUAUUUAUGAAAUUUAUAUAGGCAUAGGUUUGAAAUAUAAGCCCCACUAUUGGCACUCCAUUUCUAUUUCCUUUCCUAUUGAGGUUUCCUUAGGGGAGGAUAGAAAAUGAUUAAGGCAGCUUGAAUUUAAAAUAUAUAUUUUAUUGUUAUUUUUAUUGCUAUUACUAAAGCUUUUUUUUUCCCCCCUUGUGUCUCUACCAAAGAUUAAUGAAAAACAGGAAGUUUGUGUAAAGGCACUCCUAUGGAAGUGGAAAAAUGAGGGCAGAAUGUGUUCAUUAUUAUAAUUUCUUAGAACUACAAAGUUUACAAUUAUUGUUUCUAAUUGGUUGGAACUAGAUUUCUAAAUUCAAGCUUUCUAUUCCUUAUUUUUUAUGUCAAUAAGUAAUUCUUGCUCUUUUAAUUUUGUACUAAUACCUAUGCUAUCAAAAUAUGACAAGUCCACUUUAGGUGGCUUUUUUGUGUGUUUAUAAAUUGAUUGGAAUUAAGAAUGAAACAAAUCCAUAAAUAUCAAAAAAAAAAAAGAAUGAAACAAAUCCAAUUCAUGUAAAUAUUUUAUUUACAAUUUAGAAGAAUUAUAAUCCUAAUAUAAGGGAGUUUCUAACAUUAACUUCUUUUUUUUUACAAAUUAAAAAUUUAUUUUGUCAAUAACUACCAUUAGAUGGUGAAAAUAACAAUAUAGAAACAAAGUAAUCAUAGAAGAUAGAAAAUAAUAUUGGGUUGUUUACAGUUUAAAAGAAUUACAAAGCUAAUAUAGGCUACAAAUUAAGAAGGAAAUUAAUAUGACAAGUUAUCAUUAUAAAGUAUGUCAAAAUUGCACUUUGUUAAUAUACUCCUAAAGAAGAGUUAUAAUACUAAUAUAGGAUAAUAUUGGAUUAUUUAUAUUUUAAAUUAGUUAUAAAGCAAAUUUAGGCUACAAACUAAAGCAAAUUUAGGCUACAAACUAAGGACAUUAAUUUGACAAGUUAUCACAUAAAGUAUGUCAAAACUACACCUUGUUAAUAUAUUCCUAAUGAAAAAACUUUUAGGAGAAGAUAUAAAGUAAAAUCAAUGUCACCAUAUUGGUUAUACAAGUUAUACUUGACUUUCUAUCAAAUUGGAUUGGGUUCGUUUAGGCCUAAAAGGUGAAUCCGGAAUACAAGCUUGAUAUCCUUUAGAGUUAAGUUGAGCCUUAAGGAAAGGAAAAAAAAAAGUUUAACCCACCUUGGAAGCAAGUCUUAAUUGUGUUGGGUUGGGUCGAGUCAAGUCAGUGGAUAAAAUCCUUUGUUCAAGUUAAUAUUUUCAAGUUGAGUUGGUGGCUCUACAAACCCAUGUGUGAGUCUACUAUCAACUACAUGGUAGUUAAUAAAUUGAUAGCCAUGGAACACCUUAUGUUUGUUAAUCAUGUUGCACCAUACCCAACCGUACUCAAUAAAUCGCAAGUUCAAUCCACCUUGCAAGCAAGGCUUAACUGAGUUGGUUCAUGUUAAGCCAAUGGAUAAAAUUCUUUGUUCAAGUCAAUAUUUUUUGGGUUAGGUCGGUGGAUCUGCGAACCCGAUUGAAGAUAAGUUUGCUAUCAACUACAUAGUAGUUGAUUAAUUGAUGGAAAUGGCUAAUCGCAGUACACCAUUUGUAAUAGAAAAGUCCAAUCUAAAGUUAAUGGGGAGAACCCUUUUUGUGCAAGUAACAUUAGAAGGGUGAAGCUAUGUGUUGAUAGAAACUCAUGCUUGCCAUAUUCUUCAGAGAAUUGGUUUCAAAGAACAACUAGAGGGAAAAGUAAAAAUACUACAUUUUACUAUAAUGUAGUCUUGGGGUAAAACUAUUAAUAAAAGAUUGUGGUAUUUUCCUUAUAAUUUCAUUUUCUUCCUCUAUUAUGUUUGGUUAGAAUUAUUGACCCAAUGGAAAUCUAAUAUACAAUUUCUACGAUAAUUCAUUUGUAUUGUGUUUGUAGCGUAGUGUGUUGCCUAUGCAUUUUUCAAGUGAAAUUAUAAAGAUUUGAAAGAUUUAUGACACAUCAUUGUCUAAGAAAAUGAAAAGUUUUGUUUAAUUACUUAUUUAACCUUAUGCUAUGCAUCAUUUAUUUGAGGUUAUAAUAGUUAGGAGUGUGCAAAUAGUAAAUUUAGUUACGACCCUAACCAAACUAAAAUGAAUUUUGUGAGAAAUCAAAUCGAAUCAAACAAGAAAGACCAAAUGAACUAAAACAAAAUAAAUCAGUUCGAUAGAUUGGUUCUUCUAAUAAUCUGCAAGAUCCCAUUUUUAGUUCUAGAGGAUCAAAAUUCAUAAGUUAAUAUUGUAUCACCCUUUCAACGUUCAAAUUAAUUUUCAACAAUCAAACUUCGAACAAAUCCAAAAUUUUCAACAAUCAACUAUACCUAGAUUUUUUUUUUCCAAACAAAUUAGAAAAUUUCAAUGAUAAAAAACCUUAAUUUUUGCCAAACAAACCAACCCAAAAUUUCUCAUUUUCAUGGCUAAAUCCUAGAAAAUGGAAGAUCUCUAGAUAGAAACUUUCUUUAUCUCCUCCAUUGACUACUAAGGUGACUCGUCUAGGAGGCUAUUACUAGAAUUGCUUUCACCAUUAUGAAUGGAAGUGAUAAGGAAGAUGGGGUAAAUUUUACACGUUGUCCCUCAAUUUAGGGUGUUGUAAUACCAUAGUCUUUGAACUUCAAUUUGGAAAAUAAAAACCCUCAAUAUUAAUUUAGUGAACAAAAAAGUCCUUUUGACAUAAAAUAACUAGUUUUCUAGUUACGUGUCACUUUCACUGUGGUACCAAGUCAUCUGUCUCAUUUCACCUCUCCUCCGUAUGGCAUUUGUUAAGAAAAAUCUCUUUUUCUCUCUCCAUUUGAAAAAGACUUAAAUGCCCUCAAAUAAAAUCCAAGUCAUCUUCCCUAUUGCCCCAUCUAUCCUCUCUUUCACAUCCUCUCUUUCACUCGGUCUCUCUCUGACCCCCCCGCUACCCUCUUUUCUUUUCUUCUCUCUUCAAAACACAGAGCAUCAACAAAUGGUUGCAACCUUCCAUACAUGAUUCCCCGUUUCCUUUUCUCUUCUGUCUUUUGCUAGGUCUCGUUUUGAUUGCUACCUUACCCUCUACUAUGUUAUUCUCUCUUCAAAACACAGACCAUCAUCCUCAACUAAUUCAACUGAAACAAAAUCAUCAUAACACGCUUAACUUCUUUCAUUUUUAACUUCUCUUUAUUUUUUUACCAAAGGCUCAACUUGAGCUUCCUAUAUAACCACAUAGGGAUCAUCCUUGGUCAACUCAACCAAAGCAGAGCCAUUAGGAGAACCCUUUCUUACAAAUUUCCCAUCUUCCUUACUUGGAACACCAUGGUUUGUUACUCUAACAGAAUUUCUUGAAACCAAGCCCUCAUUAUCUCCAAUUGGUAGCAACUCAAUCUUGCUCACAACAAUAUACAUUUUGUUGUGUAUAUUGCUAUGAAGGUGAUGAUUGGCUAAAAAGAGAAAAUAAGGAGCUUGUGAAGGAAAGAAUGAGCUUGGACGCUUUUGGGGGGUUUUCUCUUCAAAUAUGUGUUGGUUCAUUUUUCUCUUUAGAUUUGUGUUGUUGAGGAUGUUUUAUGUUACAAAUUGAAGUUCAAGGACUGUGUUGAUAUAACACCUUAAGUUGAAGGAUAAUGUGCGAAAUUACCCAAAUGACGGCGAUGUCGAAACUCCAAUGUGCCGUGAGGCUUGAGGAGGAGCAAGAAGAAUUGGAGGAUGGUAGUGUCAAUGGAUUUUGAGACUUAGAUUUUGGAAUCAAUUGAAGAAGGUUAAGGAUUGAAUGUUGAAACAAAUAUUAGAACGAGAAAGGAGGGUGUUAGUUUGUGGGCAUUGGGUCGUGGCAUGAUAGGCAGGCAGGCAUCUCUAUUUGUUUCAACCAGAGUGGAAAGACAAAGAUAACUAGUUCCUAAGGUUUUUAAUAUGCAGACAUAGUGACAUCAUUUGAGCAUUAUAUAGGUUCAAUUCUAUUAUUUUGGUUUUUUGACCUAAAUAAUGGAACCAAAGUGAAUAAUUGGAUUUUCCUAAACUAACUGAAUUGAGCAGUUUAGGCUGAAAAACUGAAUUAGAACGGUUUAGUUCAAUUUUUUUGUUAAAACAAUUUAAUGUUCAGCCCUAAUAAUAAUAGCAACCUAUCUAAUCUAUGCAAUUUUUCUUUUUUUUUUUUGGAGACCUAAAAAGCGUUAUGGAUACACAAUUACUCAAAUUUCAAAUUUUUGCAUGUAACAAAUGGCAUUUUGAGAGUGACUAUUUUAUUAUUGAAAACAAUUAUGCAACUAAAAUUAAGCACUAGAUACUUGAAUGGAUGAAAAUUGAAUUGGAUGUAAACCAGAUCAAGUGAUUUUGGCUUAUCUAAUUGUUUUAGAGAAAAAAACACCUAAUAAGAUCAAAUGAAGAAGAGGAAUUCAGUUUGGAGACAUUUCUCUUUAGGUUUGGAUUGCUGGUGUGUGAUUAUUGCUUUCAUAAAGAGAGAAGGGGGUGGGUUGUGGUAGUGGCUUAACACAAUUAGGAAUAACGUAUAAGAGUAAAAGGCCAAGUGGAAGUGUAAUAAGAAUUCGUAAUAUAUUUGGCGAAGGCAAAACUAGGAUUCGUUAUUGGCAUAAUGAACUAUGGGAAGAAGGAUAACAUUGAUCUAAUUAAUACUUUUGAAGAACAUAAUAUGAACUGUGCUCUUUAAUUUUCUUUGAAAUAAAAGUGAUAAUUAAUUCCUUUUUUAUUUUUGCAUUGAUUAAAUGGCUAGAAUGUACUUUGAUGUUUGAACAUAUGAGUAUGAGCAAUUAGAUACUUUGGGAGAAAACUUUUAAUGCCUUCACUGGUAGCAUUAUUGCAGGUAGAAACUAUGAAAUCCAUUAUGAGUCUCAUGUUUUCUCUGUCAGUUUCAUUUCAGCUUGAAACAAUGACAAUAUACUAGUUUUUUUUCUUUUUCUUUUCUAAAUUUAAGGGAGGUGGAGAGAGAAGCAGGUUUCAAUUCCAUGAUUACCUGAACAAAACAAGCACUUACUGGUUAUGAUUCAGGAACUUAUUCCUAUAACAAUAUAUCACGCAAUCCAGAGGGGUUUGAUGUCA